GUAAUCAUUCCUAUCCAGAAGUGAUCGAGCAGCCUAGGUCAUGCCACUUGUUUUAUAGGAACCGGAUUGGAUCUUCCACCCCUGUGACCCAUUGGGCUUUGCAGUUCAUUCCGACCAAAGUUAUGAUUGUACCCCUAUCUAGGGGUGAUAAGCGCUGAUUAUCUGCCACAAGAAAAGUGACUGCAGGAUCCGACUACACAACGUUUAUUUGGAGACGCAGCGGUCAGUAUAGGGGCUGAACACAUUGGCGCAACAGAAUGAAUUUAUUAUGCAGAAAUGGAUCUACGUAACUGUGUGUCGGACUC
Long non-coding RNA from Hyla sarda, 305 nucleotides. RefSeq lists it as uncharacterized. The transcript is spliced from 3 exons. Lineage: Eukaryota; Metazoa; Chordata; Amphibia; Anura; Hylidae. The record is from RefSeq and is a predicted model, not a curated record.